GAUGAACGCUAGCGAUAGGCCUAACACAUGCAAGUCGAGGGGCAUCACAUGAAGUAGCAAUACGGAUGGUGGCGACCGGCGCACGGGUGAGUAACACGUAUGCAACCUGCCUUCAACAAGGGGAUAACCCGUUGAAAGACGGACUAAUACCCUAUAACACAGGGGUCCCGCAUGGGGAUAUUUGUUAAAGGACAACCGGUUGAAGAUGGGCAUGCGUUCCAUUAGCUAGUUGGCGGGGUAAGGCCCACCAAGGCAACGAUGGAUAGGGGAACUGAGAGGUUUAUCCCCCACACUGGUACUGAGACACGGACCAGACUCCUACGGGAGGCAGCAGUGAGGAAUAUUGGUCAAUGGACGCAAGUCUGAACCAGCCACGUCGCGUGAAGGAAGACGGCCCUACGGGUUGUAAACUUCUUUUAUACGGGAAUAAAGUGCCCCACGCGUGGGGUUUUGCAUGUACCGUAUGAAUAAGGAUCGGCUAACUCCGUGCCAGCAGCCG
Molecule: ribosomal RNA, 499 nt
Filed under: uncultured bacterium
Lineage: Bacteria
Description: bacterial SSU rRNA
Rfam family: Bacterial small subunit ribosomal RNA
Source: RNAcentral